UACAGAGGGUGCGAACGUUGCUCGGAAUUACUGGGCGUAAAGCGCGUGUAGGCGGGCUCAUAAGCCAGAUGUGAAAUCCCCAGGCUCAACCUGGGAACUGCAUCUGGAACUGCGAGUCUUGAGUGCCGGAGAGGGUGGCAGAAUUCCUGGUGUAGAGGUGAAAUUCGUAGAUAUCAGGAGGAACACCGGUGGCGAAGGCGGCCACCUGGACGGCAACUGACGCUGAGACGCGAAAGCGUGGGGAGCAAACAGG
Molecule: ribosomal RNA, 253 nt
Filed under: uncultured bacterium
Lineage: Bacteria
Description: partial 16S ribosomal RNA
Rfam family: Bacterial small subunit ribosomal RNA
Source: RNAcentral